GGGCAGCUGUCAACACCCAAUUUCGUCCGGGUGACUAAAUAACAGGGUUUGUUUUUAUUUUAUUUUAUGUUAUUUUGUUCUAUUAUUUUUUUUUUUAUUUUUAGUUUACUUUGAUUUAGUCUUUUUAGUUUUAUCUUAUUUAUUUUAUUUUUUUUAUAUCCUUUUGAAAAAAAAAGGAAAAAAGAAAAAAAAAAGAAAAGAAAAACGAAACAAAAAGAUAAAAAAAGAAUAAGAAAAAAAAAUUAGAAAUAUAAAAGAAAUAAAAAGAAAGGGAAGCACGGCCCAUGAGAUAAUUAAUUUUGGAGAUUUGUAUGUCCAGGAAAAAGGCAUGUUGUUCACACAUAAGUAUUGACAUUGAAUUUUCAAUAAAAAAAAUGGUACAGGUUAUGAAUUGAAGGGGAGGGAGCACAUUUUCAUUGGGAUUCAGUGAUGUCCAAGAAUUAAUUUGGAAGUUGGUUUUCUUUUCUUCGUUGGAAGGUGUACACGGUUUUCUCACAAGGAUUCACUCACUGGUUUCCUAAACUCCUAACCUUCACCACGUUUCCCAUCAUCAUGAUAUCAACACAUCCAAAUGGCUAAAAGGAUUCUCACCGUGGUACCCAACCCAUCAUCCAGGACACCAUUUUCUCCUAGACAAAGCAUCUUCUUC
Molecule: long non-coding RNA, 649 nt
Filed under: Vigna radiata
Lineage: Eukaryota; Viridiplantae; Streptophyta; Magnoliopsida; Fabales; Fabaceae
Description: long non-coding RNA (VRAD_LNC018629)
Source: RNAcentral